GCCAUACAAUACUUUCAGUUAGCUGUGAAAUUCCUUGCUAUUCAGAAAAUACAUUUUAUAUUUCUCAUAUUCUCACCUCUCUGAAAUCAGAACCUUCUGUGCUAACAAACACCUAAGGGAAGUUUUCAAUGGAGCAUUUUCCAAUGAGCAAAAUCAGCAGCAGCAAAAAAAAACAAAAAACAAAAAACAGUAGUUUGUGUUGAGCACUUGUUGCUUGUAAGAGAACUCAGAGAAAGCAGUAGCAUUAAAACAUACUACCUCUCAGAGGCUAGGGGCAGAGACUUAGGGGAAACCAUAUGAACAACUAUUAUCCUUAGGAUUAAUUCUUUCUAAUUUCAGCUCUGAAUCUGAGGUCUCUCCACCUCUACAGUCACUGCUGCUACCACUACUUUUCCAGUUUCCAUCCCCACUGCCUUCUCAACUGUUCAUGGAAGGGUAGUGGAAAAAGAGCUAUUUGUAUUAUCAAAUUCAACAGUGGUAGCUAAUGCUGUUUUGCCACAAGAAAGAAGAAAAAAAAUCAACAUUUUCGGAAAAAAAGAAAAUAAGUGUGCUGGUAGAAGGUCCCAGGAAGUCAUACUUUGUCCUAACGAGCGAUUUCUCUCUCCUCCCCCUGCAUGGAAGUAGAAGCAUCUAGAAGCAAUACCAUACAUCAUCAAAGAAUUACUCACAAAGAAGACGUAAGAGCACAGCGGGGUGACUACCAUCCACAAACCAGGAAGAAGGCCCUUACCAAGAAACUUCUCAGCUUCCAGAACUGUUUAAGUCACCUGUCUAUGGAAUUUUGGAAAUAGUAACCCAAUCUAAUAAAGCAUUUCUGCUGAGUCAUGUUUGCCUUCUCCAAACACCAUUAAGAAGAGGGGCAGCUAAGGACAUAACUGAAUAACAGAUUCAACAGUGCCUCCAACAGUGAUGAAGAUAGUUUCUAUAAUAUAAUUCUAUUUAUCUAGGCUGUAAACAAACACAAACAACACCCAGAACAAUCAUAACCUACACAGUAAGUUCAAAUCAUAGACAGUCAGUUUUAUUACAAUGAGACAAAAGCUUGCCUAAGAAUUAUCAUGUUCCACUGAAGUAGUAGGAUUAAGUGAAAUCAGACAGUUACAAAAUCCUGUAUGAAUGGGUGUGGCUCAUAACACAAAUGUUGAAUUAAAGUAGCUUAAAAUAGAUGUUUGCAUUUUGUAUUUUACACGGCUUAAUUGAGUAUUGUUUUCUCUAUUCACCUACUACGUCUUUCAGAUAAAAUCAUAUGAGAAAACUUAAUUUUUUAUACAUAAAUGGUUCCCAAAUAUAUCACCUUGGGAGAAGUUCAAGUUUUAAAAUAGAUGGAAUAGACAGAACCAACUAUACCAUAAAAUGUAU
Oryctolagus cuniculus (rabbit) is the source of this 1359-nucleotide non-coding RNA. The record is from RefSeq and is a predicted model, not a curated record. Lineage: Eukaryota; Metazoa; Chordata; Mammalia; Lagomorpha; Leporidae.